GGUGGGGGCCCGGCCUCGCGGGGGCGCCUGCAGGCCGUCACCCGGCCGCACCCCUCCGCUGCGUCCCUGAGGGACCCCAAGCUGCUGUCAGACUCGCAGGCGGAUGUGCGACGGACGCUAGGAUCCGGCCGGGGGACCACGGCGAAGGCGGCGGCGAGCACUUCGGCCUGGAAAACAAGUUGCCCUUCCUUCGCGCGGGGGCACCGCGCCGCCCCCGAGGCCGCCGCAGCCUGGUCAGGUGGCCUCGCGGGGAGCACCUCAGGGCGGCGGGCCCGGGCGCCGCGUCCCACGGUGUGAGGCGGAGGCUUCGGCGCACGCGCACGCGCCGCCCCCGCAACCUGAGGCCAGGCUUCCGUUACGAAGGAACGCUCCCAGCAGGACGGCCCCCGUGACGACGACGGUGACACGUCCCUGGGCCCUCCGACAGCUCCGGCAGCCGCGGCCGCCCCGAGUCGCUAAGAAUUGCACGUGUUCCCUGGCAAGGUUAAGGGAAACCCUCAAACGACCAAGCAGUGAGGGAGGCGAGGUGUUCAGGACCCGAGCCCCGGAUGCUAAAUAAGGACUGAGGUAAAACUAAGGGGGACCGCAUGGCCUGGUGACCCCGCCGCCCCCGAGGCCCUGCCGGGCUCGGUGGGUGCCGUGACAUCAGCUGCCAGACGUUGCGGUCUUAACUGGAAAGAGAAGGCCCGAUUCCCGCUGAUGACCCCAAGGGGAGAGAGCUCCGAGAUCCUCUUUCUAGAAGACAGAACCCCGAAUAAAUGGUUAUGGCUCCAGACAAUAUGCUUGAGUAAGAACAAAGACUGUGCUUCUGCGGAAAUGACCUCAAUGGCUUCGUAAGAAAUUAGUAGGUUAUGGGGACCAAAUUGUCAUCUAGGGUUUUUCAGUUGCACAAUCACAGUUCUCUGGUCAAGAAACUCUCCAGCCUCUGGGGGACGAAGGGAUCCACUUUGAAACCGACUAGUCCUUGGCGGGGGAAGAUGCUUCGCCAGCGUGAAAUGCCCAGAAAUAACGGGAUGUCACCAUCCCAGUGACCACCCAGGAGCCACUGUGCAUUUUACACACUGGAAGGGAGACUCGGCUGACGCCCAACAGGAAGGAAUCACGCUGCUGUCAAAGCUCUUUAAAAAGCUUUUAAGGAUGAAAUGCUCAAUUCGAAAGGAAGUAUCUAUGAUCUAUGUUCCUUAUUAAAAUAAUUUUUUUAUUCA
Canis lupus familiaris (dog) is the source of this 1205-nucleotide long non-coding RNA. RefSeq lists it as uncharacterized. The record is from RefSeq and is a predicted model, not a curated record. NCBI's taxonomy places the organism in Eukaryota, Metazoa, Chordata, Mammalia, Carnivora, Canidae. The transcript is spliced from 2 exons.